UUAAUUGAAACCAAAAAGAGGUAUAUUACUGUUAAUAAUAUCAUUGAACAAAUUCCAAUUAAA
Molecule: transfer RNA, 63 nt
Filed under: Furcilarnaca armata
Lineage: Eukaryota; Metazoa; Arthropoda; Insecta; Orthoptera; Gryllacrididae
Also listed under: 1 other name
Description: tRNA-Asn
Source: RNAcentral